GGAAGUUGCUUUUCCCACUAAAAUACAUCAAGUAUAUGCCCAACCUUCAUGAAAAUCAAUAGAGAACCAAAGCACCUUUUUGUGGGUGGCCUUAGUGAGACGGUUUCUGAGACAGACCUGCAAAAUCAGUUCAGCAGAUUUGGAGAAGUUUUUGAUGUGGAGAUCAUCACACGGAAAGAUGACCAAGGAAACCCACAGAAAAUUUUUGCAUAUAUCAACAUUAAAGUAGCAGAAGCAGACCUGAAAAAGUGUAUGUCUGCUUUAAAUAAAACAAAAUGGAAAGGUGGAACACUGCAAAUUCAGCUAGCAAAAGAAAGCUUUUUGCACAGAUUGGCCCAAGAAAGAGAAGAAGCAAAAGCAAAAAAUGAAAAAUUAACAACAGGCAACACCAACUUGUUAGAAAAGAUGGGAGGGGCAAAUUUCCAUAUGAAAGCUGUGCCAGGAACAGAAGUGCCAGAGCACAAGAAUUGGAUUGUGAGUAAAUUUGGAAGAGUCUUACCUGUUCUUCACCUGAAGAAUCAAAAUAAAGGUAAAAUCAUAAAAUAUGAUUCAUCAAAAUAUUGCCACAACCUUAAGAAGAUAGAGGAGGAUUUUACAAAUACCAUUCCUAUAACCAACCUCACUUGGGAAUUAGGAGGAGGAAAUGACCCUAUGAGUAAAAAACAGCAAGGAGAGUUCUCUGACUUUCAUGGCCUGUCUAAGAAGAUGAUAAAUGUCCAAAAGGACAAAGCUCCCACUGGGUCUUUAGCCACAAAUCCAAGGUCCAGUUCAAUAAUGGAGAGUCCCUACUUAACCACAGCAACAAACUACACAAAAGAGAACUUGUGAUUCUAUUACUCAUUCUAAAUCACCCCCUGUUUCACGUUCUGACACUCAGAAACUUAAAAAGGUACUUUUUCAGACAUCUGGCUUGGAAACCAGGAAGAGAAACAGCAUGUCUGAUGAUGAUAUUGAUUCUGAAGAUGAAUUAAGAGCAAUGAUUACAAAAGAGGAAAAUUUACAGAGGACUAUGUGGUCUUCUAUAAAUGAAUCUGAAGAUUAUCCCUUUGAAGUUGUAAGGGAUGACUUCAAAUCAGAUGUUCACAAACUUUAUUCUUUAACAGAUUUAAGUGUCAAAAAUAAUGUCUCUUGUCAUAUUAGUGAUAAUAAUAUUAUGGGAAAUGAUAGUGAGUAUGAUUCAGAAGAUACAGAUGAAAUCAUUGCAAUGAAAAAAAAAACAUUGAUAAAGUCAAAAACAGUACAGAAUUUUCACAAAUGGAAAAAUCUAUACACAAGAAAAAUUCGUUCAAAAACAGAGAAAACUCUGAUCUUUCUGGUCAUUGUAUUAAAGUACAAAAAGGAAAAAAUAUAAAUUCAGCCCUCACUUAUGGGGUGAAACCUCUUAAUCUUAAAUCUCCAUUUGACUCCAGCAGCAGUGAAGUUGUUGAUUCUGCAUCAGAAUUAGCUAAGUCUGAAGAAGAUGAGGGAGUAUAAUGCCAUCAUGAAAAACAAAACUGUCUUCAUGUGAAUCUCACGUUAGCUGAUUUGGAACAAUUGGCUGGCAGUGACCUGAAGGUUCAAAUUGAAGAUAACAAAAGUAAUAGCCCAAAAUCUAUCACCUACUACAAGUCUGACAGAGCCUCUAAGAACCCUGAUAGACUCGACAGAGGCCGACAGUGUAUUCAUCCUGAAGAAAUUGUAGCUUCCCUUUUAGAAGGAGAGAAUUCUUACGGUAAACAGAAAGCAAAGGAAAACAUCUUAAAGCCAAAAUUUCAGGCUUUCAAGGGAAUAGGCUGUCUCUAUGAAAAGGAGUCAACAAAAAAAAAUCCUUGAAAGAGAAUGUUAUAAAUGAAGAUUGGAAUUCCUUUAAACAUGAGGAUCCCAUGAGCAUUUCCAUUGAAAGUGGUUCCACAUAUGCUAAUGGCUCAUCAAAUCAACUGACUCCAUGCCAACAUGCAGAGAAGGCAAAUGGCCCACACCAUAUUCAGUCUCAAAAAAGACAGUUCACUUUUGAGAACCCGGAUCACAAGGUGGAAUCCUCUAGCAAUUCAGAAAAGGGAGGUAGGACUCCUAUUUCUAGUCUGUUGCUGUUAAAAGGAAAGAAAUCCUUAAGUGCAAAGACUUGCAAGAUAGGCUCUGACAAAGAUAGUUGGCAUAGCACCACAAAGACAAAAGCUUCAGAGGAAGAGAGGUCUCAUUCUAGCAUCCUCACAUCUCUGGAUAAGUCACCAAAGGUCUCUUCCAGGAAGGACACACAGGAAAGCAAAACUGACUUCUCACUUUCUAUUAGUAAUUCUUCAGAUGUGAGUGCUGAAAAUAAGCAUUCCGUAGACAACCAGAAGCGUUUGGAAGUCUUGGAGGCAAGGCAGAAAGCAAAAGAAGUGCAAAAGAAGCUGGUGCGUAAUGCUCUGGCAAAUUUGGAUGGUCAUCCAGAAGACAAGCCAACACACAUCAUCUUUGGUUCCGACAGUGAAAAUGAAACGGAGGAGAUACCCACCCAGGAGCAGAAUACCCACUCAGGAGCAGAGCCAUCCAGGAGAACUGGUGAAAGAGUCUGUAAGUAAAGUAUCCGGGAAGCUGUUUGACAGCAGUGCAAAUGAAGAAUCUGAUUCGGAAGAUGACAGUAACAGGUUCAAAAUUAAACCUCAGUUUGAGGCGAGAGCUGGACAGAAGCUAAUGGAUUUACAGCCACACUUUGGCACUGAUGAAAGAUUUCACAUGGACUCUCGAUUUCUAGAAAGUGACAGUGAAGAAGAACAGAAAGAUAUAAAUGAAAAGAAAACUGCUGAAGAAGAGGAGCUUGCUGAAGAAAAGAAGAAAGCCCUGAAUGUUAUGCAAAGUGUCUUGCACAUCAACUUAAACAGUUCUACAAGCAAAGGAUCAGUAGCUGCUAAGAAAUUCAAGGACAUUAUACGUUAUGAUCCAACAAGACAUGACCAUGCUACUUAUGAAAGAAAAAGAGAGGAUCAACCAAAAGAAAGUAAAGUAAAAUGAAAGAAGAAAAGGGAGGAAGCUGAAAAAGUACCUGAAUUGUCUAAAGAAAUAUAACAUUGCUAUGGAUUUGAAAGAAAUAUUCCAAGCUACAAAAGAUACCAAUGAAAAAGAAGACACUCCAUUGAAGGAGGACUGUGUUGGAGAGAAAUCUGAGGAAAUCAAGGACUCUGCAACUAUGACAAGUGAAGCUGAGCAGCCUGAUAGCUUCACAUUCUCCUUUUUUGGUUCAGACACGAAAGACAUAAAAGAAGAGAUCUAUAGAGUUGAAACUGUGAAACCUGGGAAGAUUGCCUGGCAAGAAGACCCUCGUUUCCAAGAUAGCAGUUCAGAAGAGGAGGAUAUUACUGAAGAAAAGAUCACAGAAAGCCUAGCCCUGGAGAAGAAUCAUUACCUCAGAAAGAGACCACUAGAUUUUUCUUUUUCUCUGAGAAUGAUGAAAGACUUUAUGGUUCUGAUUUAUUCUGGAGAGGAGUGGGAAAUGAUAUUAGCAAGAGUUCUUGGGAGGCCAGAACAAAUAACUUGCGUAUGGAUUGUCGGAAGAAACAUAAAGAUGCAAAAAGGAAAACGAAACCAAAGUAAUAAAUGUCAGCAUUGGCGUUGAUCCUGAAUGUGAAUGAGGCUCACCUAUGGAAAUUGACCAAGUAAAUAAUUUUAGCUGACAAAGAAGACAUUUCUGAGUGAUAGAAUAUUCAAAAGCUGGAUGAUGGAAUAUCAUUGUGGUGGCCAUCUUUUUCUAUGGAAUUCCUCUGUAUUUCUUCCUAAGUAAUUACUUCAAAAAAUUAAACUGAACUUUUUACA
RNA transcript from Nycticebus coucang (slow loris), 3771 nucleotides. It is a transcript of the gene named nucleolar protein 8-like, with no coding region annotated. The transcript has a single exon. The record is from RefSeq and is a predicted model, not a curated record. Lineage: Eukaryota; Metazoa; Chordata; Mammalia; Primates; Lorisidae.